RNAcentral lists this ribosomal RNA (458 nucleotides) under uncultured bacterium. RNAcentral describes it as "partial 16S ribosomal RNA". It matches the Rfam family "Bacterial small subunit ribosomal RNA", at positions 338 to 795 of the family's 1533-position model. The record is from RNAcentral.
ACUACGGGUGGCAGCAGUGGGGAAUAUUGCACAAUGGGCGCAAGCCUGAUGCAGCGACGCCGCGUGCGGGAUGGAGGCCUUCGGGUUGUAAACCGCUUUUGUUCAAGGGCAAGGCACGGUCUUUGGCCGUGUUGAGGGGAUUGUUCGAAUAAGCACCGGCUAACUACGUGCCAGCAGCCGCGGUAAUACGGGGGGUGCAAGCGUUAUCCGGAUUUAUUGGGCGUAAAGGGCUCGUAGGCGGUUCGUCGCGGCCGGUGUGAAAGUCCAUCGCUUAACGGGGGAUCCGCGCCGGGUAGGGGCGGGCGUGAGUGCGGGAGGGGAGACUGGAAUUCCCGGUGUAACGGUGGAAUGUGUAGAUAUCGGGAAGAACACCAAUGGCGAAGGCAGGUCUCUGGGCCGUUACUGACGCUGAGGAGCGAAAGCGUGGGGAGCGAACAGGAUUAGAUACCCUUGUAGUC